UACAGAGGGGGCAAGCGUUGUUCGGAAUUACUGGGCGUAAAGCGCGCGUAGGCGGCUUUGUAAGUUAGAGGUGAAAGCCCGGGGCUCAACUCCGGAACUGCCUUUAAGACUGCAUCGCUUGAAUCCGGGAGAGGUGAGUGGAAUUCCGAGUGUAGAGGUGAAAUUCGUAGAUAUUCGGAAGAACACCAGUGGCGAAGGCGGCUCACUGGACCGGCAUUGACGCUGAGGUGCGAAAGCGUGGGGAGCAAACAGG
RNAcentral lists this ribosomal RNA (253 nucleotides) under uncultured bacterium. RNAcentral describes it as "partial 16S ribosomal RNA". It matches the Rfam family "Bacterial small subunit ribosomal RNA", at positions 524 to 776 of the family's 1533-position model. The record is from RNAcentral.